Molecule: ribosomal RNA, 253 nt
Filed under: uncultured bacterium
Lineage: Bacteria
Description: partial 16S ribosomal RNA
Rfam family: Bacterial small subunit ribosomal RNA
Source: RNAcentral
UACAGAGGGUGCAAGCGUUAAUCGGAAUUACUGGGCGUAAAGCGUGCGUAGGUGGUUUUUUAAGUCAGGUGUGAAAUCCCUGGGCUCAACCUGGGAACUGCAUUUGAUACUGGAAAGCUAGAGUGUGGUAGAGGAUGGUGGAAUUCCCGGUGUAGCGGUGAAAUGCGUAGAUAUCGGGAGGAACAUCAGUGGCGAAGGCGGCCAUCCGGACCAACACUGACACUGAGGCACAAAAGCGUGGGGAGCAAACAGG